Molecule: ribosomal RNA, 358 nt
Filed under: uncultured Cupriavidus sp.
Lineage: Bacteria; Pseudomonadati; Pseudomonadota; Betaproteobacteria; Burkholderiales; Burkholderiaceae
Description: bacterial SSU rRNA
Rfam family: Bacterial small subunit ribosomal RNA
Source: RNAcentral
CGGAACGUGCCCUGUUGUGGGGGAUAACUAGUCGAAAGAUUAGCUAAUACCGCAUACGACCUGAGGGUGAAAGCGGGGGACCGUAAGGCCUCGCGCAAUAGGAGCGGCCGAUGUCUGAUUAGCUAGUUGGUGGGGUAAAGGCCUACCAAGGCGACGAUCAGUAGCUGGUCUGAGAGGACGAUCAGCCACACUGGGACUGAGACACGGCCCAGACUCCUACGGGAGGCAGCAGUGGGGAAUUUUGGACAAUGGGGGCAACCCUGAUCCAGCAAUGCCGCGUGUGUGAAGAAGGCCUUCGGGUUGUAAAGCACUUUUGUCCGGAAAGAAAUCGCGCUGGCUUAAUACCUGGCGUGGAUGA